GAAUAUUGGACAAUGGGGGGAACCCUGAUCCAGCCAUGCCGCGUGUGUGAAGGAGGCCUUCUGGUUGUGCAGCACGUUACGCGAGGAGGAGGAGCUCUUGGUUAAGACUCACGAUGCUUGGACGUUACUCGCAGACUAAGCACCGGCCAGCCAUGUGCCAGAAGCCGCGGUAAAACAGAGGGGGAAAGCGGUAAUCGGAUUUCCUGGGCGUAAGGCGCGCGUAGGUGGCAAAUUAAGUCAAAUGUGAAAUCCCCUAGCUUGACUUGGGAAUUGCAUUCGAUACUGGUUGUCUAGAGUAUGGGAGAGGAUGGGAGAAUUCCAGGUGUAGCGGUGAAAUGCGUAGAGAUCUAGAGGAAUACCGAUGGCGAAGGCAGCCAUCUGGCCUAAUACUGACACUGAGGUGCGAAAGCAUGGGGAGCAAACA
Molecule: ribosomal RNA, 424 nt
Filed under: uncultured bacterium
Lineage: Bacteria
Description: partial 16S ribosomal RNA
Rfam family: Bacterial small subunit ribosomal RNA
Source: RNAcentral